GUCCCUGUAGCGCAAUGGAUAGCGCGUUGGACUUCUAAUCCAAAUGUCGGGGGUUAGAAUCCCACUUGGGAUA
This 73-nucleotide transfer RNA is filed under the name Trichonephila clavipes. It matches the Rfam family "tRNA". From Rfam's summary of the family: Transfer RNA (tRNA) molecules are approximately 80 nucleotides in length. Lineage: Eukaryota; Metazoa; Arthropoda; Arachnida; Araneae; Nephilidae. The record is from Rfam by way of RNAcentral.